AGGCAGCAGUGGGGGGAAUAUUGCACAAUGGGCGCAAGCCUGAUGCAGCCAUGCCGCGUGUGUGAAGAAGGCCUUCGGGUUGUAAAGCACUUUCAGUCGUGAGGAAGGUAGUGUAGUUAAUAGCUGCAUUAUUUGACGUUAGCGACAGAAGAAGCACCGGCUAACUCCGUGCCAGCAGCCGCGGUAAUACGGAGGGUGCGAGCGUUAAUCGGAAUUACUGGGCGUAAAGCGCAUGCAGGUGGUUUGUUAAGUCAGAUGUGAAAGCCCGGGGCUCAACCUCGGAAUUGCAUUUGAAACUGGCAGACUAGAGUACUGUAGAGGGGGGUAGGAAUUUCAGGUGUAGCGGUGAAAUAGCGUAGAGAUCUGAAGGAAUACCGGUGGCGAAGGCGGCCCCCUGGACAGAUACUGACACUCAGAUGCGAAAGCGUGGGGAGCAAACAGGAUUAGAUACCCUGGUAG
Molecule: ribosomal RNA, 459 nt
Filed under: uncultured bacterium
Lineage: Bacteria
Description: bacterial SSU rRNA
Rfam family: Bacterial small subunit ribosomal RNA
Source: RNAcentral